UGGCGGCGUGCCUAAUACACUGCAAGUCGAGCGGACCGACGGGAGCUUGCUCCCUUAGGUCAGCGGCGGACGGGUGAGGUAACACGUGGGUAACCUGCCUGUAAGACUGGGAUAACUCCGGGAAACCGGGGCUAAUACCGGAUGCUUAAUUGAACCGCAUGGUUCAAUUAUAAAAGGUGGCUUCGGCUACCACUUACAGAUGGACCCGCGGCGCAUUAGCUAGUUGGUGAGGUAACGGCUCACCAAGGCAACGAUGCGUAGCCGACCUGAGAGGGUGAUCGGCCACACUGGGACUGAGACACGGCCCAGACUCCUACGGGAGGCAGCAGUAGGGAAUCUUCCGCAAUGGACGAAAGUCUGACGGAGCAACGCCGCCGUGAGUGAUGAAGGUUUUCGGAUCGUAAAACUCUGUUGUUAGGGAAGAACAAGUACCGUUCGAAUAGGGCGGUACCUUGACGGUACCUAACCAGAAAGCCACGGCUAACUACGUGCCAGCCGCUGC
Molecule: ribosomal RNA, 502 nt
Filed under: uncultured bacterium
Lineage: Bacteria
Description: bacterial SSU rRNA
Rfam family: Bacterial small subunit ribosomal RNA
Source: RNAcentral